This is an RNA transcript of Rhineura floridana, 1864 nucleotides long. It is a transcript of the gene named coenzyme Q6, monooxygenase, with no coding region annotated. Lineage: Eukaryota; Metazoa; Chordata; Lepidosauria; Squamata; Rhineuridae. The record is from RefSeq and is a predicted model, not a curated record. The transcript is spliced from 13 exons.
UGGUGACGUAUGCGUCACUUCCCAAAAGAUGGCGGCCGUAGUGGGCUUGUUACCGUGCUGCAGCUUUGGGCCCUAUUGUAGGAAGAGCUUUUGUCUCCGUACCAGCCUUGUCGGGUCUCUCGUGCGGCGGGACUCAUUGAGAUCCAAUGGUUCGACGGCGGUGUACGAUGUGGUGGUAUCAGGUGGUGGCAUGGUCGGGACCGCCAUGGCUGCUGCACUGGGGCAUGAUGUUCAUCUCUCUGAUAAGAAAAUUCUGCUACUUGAAGCUGGUCCAAAGAAAGUGGCUAAUCAAUUGCCUAAGAGUUAUAGUAAUAGGGUCAGUGCUAUUACACCUGGCUCAGCCACACUUCUUGGUAGCUUUGGUGCUUGGGAUCAUAUUUGCAAUAUGAGAGUCAAACCCUUUCGACGGAUGCAGGUGUGGGAUGCUUGUUCUGAAGCCAUGAUAAUCUUUGAUAAAGAUAACUUGGAAGAUAUGGGUUAUAUAGUGGAGAAUGAUGUUAUCUUGUCUGCUCUAACGAAACAAUUGGAAGCAGUUUCAGACCAAGUGGAAGUUCUCUACAGGAGCAGAGCAGUUGGGUACACCUGGUCCCUUCCUUAUCAGACCUCUGACUCAAGCCCUUGGAUUCACAUUGAUUUAGCAGAUGGACACAAAUUACAGACCAAACUGCUGAUUGGUGCGGAUGGGCAAAACUCUAUGGUCCGGAAGGCAGCUGGUAUUCAGAAUAUGCAGUAUCGGUAUGAGCAGUCAGCUGUAGUUGCUACCCUUCACUUAUCUGAGGCAACGGAUAACAAUGUAGCAUGGCAGAGAUUCCUCCCAUCGGGACCAAUUGCUCUCCUCCCGCUCUCUGACACUGUCAGCUCUUUGGUUUGGUCCACAUCCCAUGAACAUGCAUCCCAACUUCAAAACAUGGAGGAGGAAAGGUUUAUAGACUCUAUCAACUCUGCUUUUUGGAGCAACGCCAAUCAUUCUGACUUUAUUGAUACUGCUGGAUCCAUGUUCCGAUCUGCUGUUUCUCUCCUGAUGCCAUCGGGGACUGCAGCCCGUCAGCUGCCCCCAAGUGUUGCAAAAGUGGAUCCAAAGAGCCGAGCUGUAUUCCCUCUUGGACUGGGGCAUGCAACAGAAUAUGUCCAACACCGUGUGGCUCUUAUUGGGGAUGCAGCUCACAGAGUACAUCCUCUAGCAGGUCAGGGUGUGAAUAUGGGCUUUGGUGACAUUGCAUGCUUGAGCCAUCAUCUCAGUGCUGCUGCGUUCAAUGGGAGGGACCUAGGCUCUUUAAAGCAUCUACUACAGUAUGAGGAAGAGCGACAGAGACACAACCUGUCUCUCAUGGCUGCAAUUGACAUGUUGAAGAGGCUGUACUCUACAAGUAUGGCUCCUUUGGUGCUACUAAGGACAUGGGGAUUGCAAGCAACUAAUGCUGUGCCUCCAGUUAAAGAGCAGAUCAUGGCAUUUGCUAGUAAGUGAUAUUCUUGUGAAGCUAGAGUUACAGUUCCCUGAUGGUUGCUGUAUAUUCAUCAAUUAUAAAGACUGUAUUACAUUUGACAAGCACUCGAGCCAAUUCAAACUGGGAGGACAUUAACUACAACCACUGAAGCUACUCAUUAAAGAACAAUUACUGCAUAUUGUGGAGACUUUUUAAAAAUAAUAUGUUUGGACAAUUCCAAGCUAUGAGUCUAUGUUUGAGUUGUAUUUGACUUGAAGAAGAAACCAGGAACUGCAAAGACUUCUUGCAGUAACAAUAUCUUUUGUCUUGCUAAAACAAGUAAACUGUGGCUUUCCACCUCCUUUAUCAAUGUAUUUGGAAUGAAGUACCUGUACCACAAUCUAGUUAAUAAAAUGAGAACAUUCUGUUUAACCAAAGCU